This 304-nucleotide ribosomal RNA is filed under the name uncultured bacterium. Its description in RNAcentral is "partial 16S ribosomal RNA". It matches the Rfam family "Bacterial small subunit ribosomal RNA", at positions 506 to 807 of the family's 1533-position model. The record is from RNAcentral.
CAGCAGUAGCCACGGUAAUACGGAGGGCGCGAGCGUUACCCGGAUUUACUGGGCGUAAAGGGCGUGUAGGCGGCCUGGGGCGUCCCAUGUGAAAGGCCACGGCUCAACCGUGGAGGAGCGUGGGAUACGCUCAGGCUAGAGGGUGGGAGAGGGUGGUGGGAUUCCCGGAGUAGCGGUGAAAUGCGCAGAUACCGGGAGGAACGCCGAUGGCGAAGGCAGCCACCUGGUCCACUUCUGACGCUGAGGCGCGAAAGCGUGGGGAGCAAACAGGAUUAGAUACCCCUGUAGUCCCUGUCUCUUAUAC